This 497-nucleotide ribosomal RNA is filed under the name uncultured bacterium. RNAcentral describes it as "partial 16S ribosomal RNA". It matches the Rfam family "Bacterial small subunit ribosomal RNA", at positions 28 to 507 of the family's 1533-position model. The record is from RNAcentral.
GACGAACGCUGGCGGCGUGCCUAAUACAUGCAAGUUGAGCGCUGAAGGUUGGUACCUGUACCAACUGGAUGAGCAGCGAACGGGUGAGUAACGCGUGGGGAAUCUGUCUUUGAGCGGGGGACAACAUUUGGAAACGAAUGCUAAUACCGCAUAAAAACUUUAAACACAAGUUUUAAGUUUGAAAGAUGCAAUUGCAUCACUCAAAGAUGAUCCCGCGUUGUAUUAGCUAGUUGGUGAGGUAAAGGCUCACCAAGGCGAUGAUACAUAGCCGACCUGAGAGGGUGAUCGGCCACAUUGGGACUGAGACACGGCCCAAACUCCUACGGGAGGCAGCAGUAGGGAAUCUUCGGCAAUGGACGAAAGUCUGACCGAGCAACGCCGCGUGAGUGAAGAAGGUUUUCGGAUCGUAAAACUCUGUUGGUAGAGAAGAACGUUGGUGAGAGUGGAAAGCUCAUCAAGUGACGGUAACUACCCAGAAAGGGACGGCUAACUACGUG